This 484-nucleotide ribosomal RNA is filed under the name uncultured bacterium. Its description in RNAcentral is "partial 16S ribosomal RNA". It matches the Rfam family "Bacterial small subunit ribosomal RNA", at positions 28 to 523 of the family's 1533-position model. The record is from RNAcentral.
GACGAACGCUGGCGGCGUGCUUAACACAUGCAAGUCGAACGAUGAACCCGGAGCUUGCUCCGGCGGAUUAGUGGCGAACGGGUGAGUAACACGUGAGUAACCUGCCCUUGACUCUGGGAUAACUGCGGGAAACUGUAGCUAAUACCGGAUACGACCCUCGGCGGCAUCGCCAGGGGGUGGAAAGAAUUUCGGUCAAGGAUGGACUCGCGGCCUAUCAGCUAGUUGGUGAGGUAACGGCUCACCAAGGCGACGACGGGUAGCCGGCCUGAGAGGGUGACCGGCCACACUGGGACUGAGAUACGGCCCAGACACCUACGGGAGGCAGCAGUGGGGAAUAUUGCACAAUGGGCGCAAGCCUGAUGCAGCGACGCCGCGUGAGGGAUGACGGCCUUCGGGUUGUAAACCUCUUUCAGCACCGACGAAGCGCAAGUGACGGUAGGUGCAGAAGAAGGACCGGCCAACUACGUGCCAGCAGCCGCAGUAA